RNAcentral lists this long non-coding RNA (1066 nucleotides) under Glycine max (soybean). RNAcentral describes it as "long non-coding RNA (GMAX_LNC004677)". Lineage: Eukaryota; Viridiplantae; Streptophyta; Magnoliopsida; Fabales; Fabaceae. The record is from RNAcentral.
GGCAGGGACGGGAAAAUGGAGAGUUUGAGGUGGGGGCGGGGGUAGGAUAAGCAAAAACCGUCCCAACCCGUCGGGUAGCCAUGCCUAAACAGAAUAUGCAGAUAAAACACCCAAGGCUCAAAUACCCCCCAAUACUAAAAUAUAGAAAACUAUGCAUGUCUACCAGAGAUAGGUACAUGUUUACUCUAAGGACUCUGUUUACUGAUGAUCUCCUCAAUAAGAUCUGCAGCUUCCUGAACUAUUGGGAUGCUCUGUGCACUAUCUUCUUCUACAGUGAUACCAAAUUCCUCCUCAAGCCCCAUCACAAGCAGAGUUAAGGUGGCCACAAAAUUCAUCAUUGUAUCAUUCUUUAAACAUAAAGCAAAUGCUACAGGCACUAAGGCACUUUCUUUAGGCUGUAUCGUUCAAUUGCACAUGCAAUAAAUGAAAAUUUUAUGUUUCACAUUUUUUUCAAAAAAAAAAAAAACCACAUGUCAAUUAAGAAAUCAAACAGAUUUUUUCCACAAACACAUGUUCUACGCAAAUCCGUACACACGUAGUUAUUAUCAUCGUUGUAUUACAUGCACAGUAUUUGACAAAUUAGAUAUAAAAAAAUUUCUAGAAACGAACCUCUGCAGAAGUGGAUUACAGAAUUGAGAAUUCAGAGAAAACUUGCACGUAAGAACAAUAAUAAAGAAAUAGAAACAAAUAAACAGACAAUUGGAGGAAUCAUAAAGCGAUCAAUCACGAGUUUAUCACAAAAAGAAUGAGUAAAGCAAAUCGCAGAAUAACAGUCACAAUUAAAAGGUUGAAAGCGCCAGGGAGGAUCAAACGGAAAAUGAAAACGAUACCAAUCUCUUAUUCAAGUUGAGACGGAGACAACGUUCGGAGAGUAAUGCUCCGGUGAACGUGUUCGUGGCCAUGGAGGUUGGUGCAAAGAUGCAAAGAUAAUCGAAAGAGAAUUGAGAAGGUGGCGGAGAAUGCGAAGAGCGUGAAUAGUGAAGUGAAAAGGGCGUCGUUAAAGAAAGAAUAAAUAGAAACAGCUCUUUCCUUGCGCUGCUUUUGUUUGGUUCCUUCUCUCUCUCUC